UCACAUAGCUCAGUUGGUAGAGCAUGAGACUCUUAAUCCCAGGGUUGUAGGUUUGAGCCCUACAUUGGAUGAA
RNAcentral lists this transfer RNA (73 nucleotides) under Podarcis lilfordi (Lilford's wall lizard). RNAcentral describes it as "tRNA.Lys". The stretch from base 6 to 63 matches the Rfam family "tRNA", at positions 8 to 63 of the family's 71-position model. Rfam says of the family: Transfer RNA (tRNA) molecules are approximately 80 nucleotides in length. The record is from RNAcentral. Lineage: Eukaryota; Metazoa; Chordata; Lepidosauria; Squamata; Lacertidae.